RNAcentral lists this ribosomal RNA (433 nucleotides) under uncultured bacterium. Its description in RNAcentral is "partial 16S ribosomal RNA". It matches the Rfam family "Bacterial small subunit ribosomal RNA", at positions 29 to 507 of the family's 1533-position model. The record is from RNAcentral.
AACGAACGCUGGCGGCAUGCCUAACACAUGCAAGUCGAACGAGACCUUCGGGUCUAGUGGCGCACGGGUGCGUAACGCGUGGGAACCUGCCCUUAGGUUCGGAAUAACUCCCCGAAAGGGGUGCUAAUACCGGAUAAUGUCUUCGGACCAAAGAUUUAUCGCCUUUGGAUGGGCCCGCGUUGGAUUAGCUAGUUGGUAGGGUAAAAGCCUACCAAGGCGACGAUCCAUAGCUGGUCUGAGAGGAUGAUCAGCCACACCGGGACUGAGACACAGCCCAGACUCCUACGGGAGGCAGCAGUGGGGAAUAUUGGACAAUGGGCGAAAGCCUGAUCCAGCAAUGCCGCGUGAGUGAUGAAGGCCUUAGGGUUGUAAAGCUCUUUUACCCGGGAUGAUAAUGACAGUACCGGGAGAAUAAGCUCCGGCUAACUCCGUG